Molecule: non-coding RNA, 318 nt
Organism: Pelobates cultripes (western spadefoot toad)
Lineage: Eukaryota; Metazoa; Chordata; Amphibia; Anura; Pelobatidae
Source: the annotation of a GenBank genome assembly
GAGUGCCUUUACAAGUGUCCUCAACUCAAAGACGGAGCGAAAUGCAAAACAAGGACAAAAAAAACGGAAUAUGGUGCAGUAUUUUUGAUGCUGGUGAUUACCAGCUUGGACAGUACAAUCCCCGUUGUGGAUAUGCUGAUCUUGAUCUUAUAUGGAAAGGUAUCCUUAGGCUAGUCAGCAGCGAGUGGUGGUCAGCGUUUGUAGAAGUGGUCUCUUUCAAUGGUCCAUUUUAUCACAGUGAGACUUCACCAGCGUGUAAAAUGAAAGUCCAAGUGCAUAUCUGGAAUUGAUUUCGAACUCCAGAAGAUUAUGCCCAGU